GUCUUUUGAUUCCUGAUUACUUUACUGUAUUUUGCCUGUGAUUAACUCUGAGUGACUUGAUCCCUCUCUGUGUAGUGCAACCCUCAAGGAUUCAACAAUUAUUUUAUACCCUAAAUAUUUGAAUAAUAUAAAUUGCAAGCAAAUAUUAUAUAUUACACAUAUUAAUGAACAAUCUAAAUAAAAGUGAAAAUAUUGAUGAAUACAAUUAAAUACAUAUUACAUCAUGAUUAGAAAAAAAAUGGUAAUUUCUAUGUAAAUUUAAAUUUCAAGAUUAAUAUGUUGCUCCAAUUAAUGCUCUGUUAAUGCAUUAUGAAGUUCAAGAUGAGCAUUCUUGUCCUUAUUUUUAUAGCUAAAAAUUAUUCAAAUUAAUAAUUUUCAUCUAUCAUCACUUCUACUGUUGGAGUUGGACCUUCCAAAGUAUCUUGAAUUGAUGCAUUAAGAUCAUAUUCAUCCUCGAUUAUAAAUUAUAAUAAAAUUAACUUAUAUUUUAAAUAAAUAAAAAUAUUAUUUACGAAAAUUAAUUAAUAAAAAUUAUGAAUUAAUUUAAAUUUAAUAUUAAUAUAAUAAAGAUCCAACAUAAAAAAAAUUACAACUACUAGACUUAACUAAUAGUCUUAUAAUUUAUAAUAUAUUAAAUUAAAAUUAUAUAAUUAAAAUAAUAAUAAAAUAUUCAAAUAGUAAUUUGAAAUUGAUGAAUAGUGCCACUCCAAAUCUGAUGCGCACUAUUCACACUCCAAAUUUAGAGCAAAAAUAGAGUACGGUUGGAGAUGAAAUUAUUUAAAAUCUUAGUCGGUUUAGUUGUUACUUUCUUAAAAUAUCACUUCUUUUUGUCAAAGAAAAUUAGAAUCCAAAAAAAAUAUUACCUUAUAAGAUAAUAGUUAGGGGUGGCUCAACCUCAUAAAACAAUUGACGAUUGUCUUAGGCUCCUAAAUUUGAGGGCCUCAUUUUUUACUAGAAAUAUGUUAUAAAAAAUUGUAAAAUAUAAAUGUUAUUUAUAGAAAUAUAAAAUUUUUUAUAUAAAAGGAAAGGAUUAUUAAAAGAAGUUCAUAUAUUUUGAAUAUUAUGUCUCAAGAAAGAUUAAAUACAUUAAUUAUAUUAUUAUUUAAAAUAAAUUAAUUAGAAAAAAUUAAUUAUAUAAUUUUAAAAAUAAAGUUCAUUAAAAAAGAUUUUUUUUCUUAAAAAUUUAAGGGCUCUGUUUAAUUUUCGCCUUAAGCUACAAAUAUGAUUGAGCUGCCGUUGAUAAUAGUAACUAUAACUAUGUGAUAAUAUGAGAAAUCUAACCCCUUUUCGAGAGGACAUACAAAUUACAUUAAUUAACAAUGUGCUAAAGAGUUAAUUUCUCACAUACUUAUUCAAUUAAUAGUUAUUAUUUUAAAAAAAUUAAAAUUGAGAAAUAAAAUAAGUUUUUAAAAUAAUAAUUCUCAAUUGAGUGACAUGUGAACAAUUCAACUCCAGGAGAGAGAGAUUUUGAGGGAAGGAAGAAGACUUUCUUUUUUUGAUUUCUCAUCCGGUGUUUGAUGCUUGUAUUGAAAUCCCCAUUAAUUUGAAUCGCACGUUGCAGGGCUCAUUAAGGUGGCAGCGCUCCCAACAGAGUUUUCUCCAUAUUCAGAAUUGAACCCUUAACCUCUGAUUAAGAACGGAAUAACCCCAUCUAUUAUAUCACAACCUAUGUUGAUAAGGAAGAAGACUUACUUUCUUAGUGGAUGGUUGUUUAUGACCGACUCUUCUUUUCUUAGUGGAUGGUUGUUUAUGACCGACUCUUCUGCCAUUCUUUUCUCUUUACAAACUCUCUUUGUUUGGUGUACUUUUGUGGGGAAUACAUAUGCUGGAAGGGGUAUUAUAUGUAAGAUAUUUUAAAAUAUGUUGAAUAUUUUAUUAAAAUAUUUUGGAUCAAAGAAAAAAAAAAAUUUGAGUGAAACUCACUUGUCCACGUGACAAUACAAA
Molecule: long non-coding RNA, 1944 nt
Filed under: Capsicum annuum
Lineage: Eukaryota; Viridiplantae; Streptophyta; Magnoliopsida; Solanales; Solanaceae
Description: long non-coding RNA (CANN_LNC015382)
Source: RNAcentral